UAGGCCUCUUGCAGCAGCGUACAGAGAGAACACGAUCUGAUUGUCUGGGUUUCAAUUUUGACUGGAGUUUUCCUGUCAGCACACAUUGUGGACACAGAAACAGUCAAACAACAACGUUAAAGUCACAGAAAGCAAUAUCUCACUGACAGAUAUCC
Bufo bufo (common toad) is the source of this 155-nucleotide long non-coding RNA. RefSeq lists it as uncharacterized. The transcript has 3 exons. The record is from RefSeq and is a predicted model, not a curated record. Lineage: Eukaryota; Metazoa; Chordata; Amphibia; Anura; Bufonidae.